AACGAACGCUGGCGGCAUGCCUAACACAUGCAAGUCGAACGAGACCUUCGGGUCUAGUGGCGCACGGGUGCGUAACGCGUGGGAAUCUACCCUUGGGUUCGGAAUAACUCAGAGAAAUUUGAGCUAAUACCGGAUGAUGUCGCAAGACCAAAGAUUUAUCGCCCAAGGAUGAGCCCGCGUAGGAUUAGCUUGUUGGUGAGGUAAAAGCUCACCAAGGCGACGAUCCUUAGCUGGUCUGAGAGGAUGAUCAGCCACACUGGGACUGAGACACGGCCCAGACUCCUACGGGAGGCAGCAGUAAGGAAUAUUGGUCAAUGGACGCAAGUCUGAACCAGCCAUGCCGCGUGAAGGAUUAAGGUCCUCUGGAUUGUAAACUUCUUUAUCUGGGACGAAAAUGACAGUACCUGGAGAAUAAGCUCCGGCUAACUCCGUGCCAGCAGCCGCGGUAAU
Molecule: ribosomal RNA, 450 nt
Filed under: uncultured bacterium
Lineage: Bacteria
Description: bacterial SSU rRNA
Rfam family: Bacterial small subunit ribosomal RNA
Source: RNAcentral